CUUGAUAACAGCCCAAGAGAAGAGAAAGAAAAAGGAGUUCUAAGAAUGCUCACAGUAUUUCACAAGGAGUCCUAGAAAAAAGAUUGAGUGUUUUUCAUUGGAAUUUUUCCCCAUUGUUCUCUCUCAUUAAAACUGGCCCUGUUUUGUCUCCCUCUGAUACUGUUUGAAUUGUAGAUUCUGAUGUCCUUUGAACUUUGUUCUUUGAUAAAAGUUGGGCAAAAAACACAUGCCACACACAACUGUGGACCUGAGAUGUGAGACUCGUGAUAGUUCUGGAGAGAGCUUCCUGCCCUAUGCCAAAAAAGGAAGACAACUGUUCAAACUGACCAGGAGGCAAAAUAUUUCCAUGGUGAGUUGUGAUGUCAUCACUUAGGAUUGAAGAACACUAAGCAAUCUAGCGCAGAUUAAAAGAAUUUUCCUGAGUGGCACAAUACACAGCUGGGAUCAAAUGGCAAUAAAUACGGUGGUGCACUAAGUGAAACA
Molecule: long non-coding RNA, 483 nt
Filed under: Vulpes vulpes (red fox)
Lineage: Eukaryota; Metazoa; Chordata; Mammalia; Carnivora; Canidae
Description: lncRNA (ENSVVUG00000019918.1)
Source: RNAcentral